UGAACGCUGGCGGCGUGCCUAAUACAUGUAAGUCGAGCGAACGGACGAGAAGCUUGCUUCUCUGAUGUUAGCGGCGGACGGGUGAGUAACACGUGGAUAACCUACCUAUAAGACUGGGAUAACUUCGGGAAACCGGAGCUAAUACCGGAUAAUAUUUUGAACCGCAUGGUUCAAAAGUGAAAGACGGUCUUGCUGUCACUUAUAGAUGGAUCCGCGCUGCAUUAGCUAGUUGGUAAGGUAACGGCUUACCAAGGCAACGAUGCAUAGCCGACCUGAGAGGGUGAUCGGCCACACUGGAACUGAGACACGGUCCAGACUCCUACGGGAGGCAGCAGUAGGGAAUCUUCCGCAAUGGGCGAAAGCCUGACGGAGCAACGCCGCGUGAGUGAUGAAGGUCUUCGGAUCGUAAAACUCUGUUAUUAGGGAAGAACAUAUGUGUAAGUAACUGUGCACAUCUUGACGGUACCUAAUCAGAAAGCCACGGCUAACUACGUG
RNAcentral lists this ribosomal RNA (495 nucleotides) under uncultured bacterium. Its description in RNAcentral is "partial 16S ribosomal RNA". It matches the Rfam family "Bacterial small subunit ribosomal RNA", at positions 30 to 507 of the family's 1533-position model. The record is from RNAcentral.